Molecule: transfer RNA, 72 nt
Filed under: Anaerobacterium chartisolvens
Lineage: Bacteria; Bacillati; Bacillota; Clostridia; Eubacteriales; Oscillospiraceae
Rfam family: tRNA
About the family: Transfer RNA (tRNA) molecules are approximately 80 nucleotides in length. Their secondary structure includes four short double-helical elements and three loops (D, anti-codon, and T loops).
Source: Rfam by way of RNAcentral
GCGGGUUUAACUCAGUGGUAGAGUGUCACCUUGCCAAGGUGAAAGUCGCGCGUUCAAAUCGCGUAACCCGCU